This is a long non-coding RNA of Bactrocera dorsalis (oriental fruit fly), 919 nucleotides long. RefSeq lists it as uncharacterized. NCBI's taxonomy places the organism in Eukaryota, Metazoa, Arthropoda, Insecta, Diptera, Tephritidae. The transcript has 2 exons. The record is from RefSeq and is a predicted model, not a curated record.
UUGUGUUGUAAAAAUUUUCUUAGUAGUUCAUCGAUCAGGUGUUUUUCUGUCAGUAAAUUUCAAAGGAAACUCGCAGGUCCUCUUCCUAGAGAGAUAAUAAUUCGCUAAGUACUUAAUGCAAUGCAAACUAGUCUCCAUAAUGAACACCCAUAAUAAUAACAUAGGCUCUGUUCGAAUGUUACAACCAGACCAUGCCUGUAAGUUCAUACUAACACAAACAUUGGGUAUAAAUUUAGCAAUAUGAGUUUAAUUGAAUUUAUUGCGCAAACAAUUGUCUGAAUUGAUGUGAAUGGCAAAGCGAAUCAUUCUGAGUAGUGCCACCAAGAAGUGGUGCCAUGAGGCGCAGGCACUUUUUCAUACAAAUUCUUACUAAACGGAUCAGCACUUAAGCUUAAGCUGGGGUUCAUAGGCGUAAGGCUAAUUUAAUCAUUAAAAAUUUGAUUGUUGAUACGAAAUCGCUUUUUUGCCUUUGCUGAGUUGCGUCGUUUGCGCAGUUAUAUGCAACAUUUAGUUUUGAAUUCGCGCUACUAGAGUGAUGUACGAUUCACCGCGGCGUUCGACAGCGACAAUGGACGGAAAUUGCUAAAGAAAUUAGCGUUUGGAAAUGAUGUGAUGAAGUGUUAUUAUUUUUGUUUUGCGAUAGAUGAGUCGAAGUACUGAAAAUAAAUAAAUAUUUUUUAAAAAAAGUGAAAUUCAGCUGCAAGGAUUUUCAGUUGACAGCUGUAGAAAUAAGUGUUGACUGUGUGCAAGUGCAGUGAAGUGAAUGAUUGCAUGAAAACGCAUAUAAAAUAUUAAAAUAAUUGUAUAAAUACAACAAGAAAUAUAUAGAAAUAAAUAAAUAAAAAAAAUUAAAAAAAAAACUAAAGGAUUUAGGGUAACUGAAUUGAAAAUCCCUAAACUCUAAUGGAGUGAAUGUGCU